RNAcentral lists this long non-coding RNA (7553 nucleotides) under Zea mays. RNAcentral's name for it is "long non-coding RNA (ZMAY_LNC003061)". The record is from RNAcentral. Lineage: Eukaryota; Viridiplantae; Streptophyta; Magnoliopsida; Poales; Poaceae.
UCUAAUCAAAGAGGAUCCCAAGGCCGCUCAUAACCGUGAGCACGGCUGAUAUAUCAGUUUCUAACCCUCUGCAGAGGUCGCACACUUUACCCACAAGUCGUGAUUCCCAUUCUGCCCGGAGAUCAUGACUCUCCAUUGAUCACUACCAAGGUGACCUAGCAGGGUCUCACUACGUAGCCUUUACAAAGAUUCCCUAGAGGUCAUAGCCGCCCGUUAGGUUUCUCCAGUUUGAUAAACACAGUACCUCUCCCCGAAGGAGGGUGACUAACAAAAGCAAAACGAAAGAACCUCGGCACCCAGCCUCGGCAGAGCAAGCACUGUGCCUGGACCCCAUUGACGACACGACGGCGAAGCAACUACACCUCUAGUUCCUCUAAUUAAUUAGCUAAGGGCAUCCCAUUUCACCCUCAUGGUUGCACUGUUAUCCCGGGUGGUCUCUCAACGAACAGGUCCUUACGGAGAGGUACUCGGGAAACAGCCCGAGUCCCCUAAAUGCCACAAGUAUAUCAUCAUGUCCAGAAUAAAAUCAUAGUAUCAUCAUUGUAUCUCAUCAUGUUCAUUGAUUAAAGUAAAGCAAUAGCAUGAAGCUAACCAUAAUAGCCCAAAAGGUAAUCAAGAGUGAGGUAAAUACAAAGCUAGUCAAUCCUUAAGUUGAUCAUGGUAUGCGGUUGAUGAAUUAUAAAGUAAAUGGGACAUAAUAGGUCAGAGGACACUUGCCUUCACCAAAUUGAUGCUCAGGGUCUUCAGCCUCGUAGAACUCGAAGAGUUCGAUCACUUGGUCGCCAAAGCUUGACCGUCGAUUCCUCGAAGCUCAAAAAUGGAUCGCAGUCUACUCGCGACGCACAAUGAAUACAAACAGGCACAAACAAGCAAGCAUAUAUAUGCAUAAGAACAUUACACCAUUCAGAGAGAAACAUAAUAAUAAUAAUAAUAAAACAUGCAAUACGAAACGGAACGCGUUACUACGGUCACACGAGGAAAAAGAAACGCGACGGUCGAGAAGUUAUCGCGUUUACACUAAACGAGUAUUAACCAUAACAUUUAGUUUGACCUGAUUAUAUUAAUCAAUAUUUAUUUAAAAUGAAGCUAGAGCUAUCGCACAAUUUUAAUUAGCUGACCACACUAACAAUUCUUAGUUAAAUAAGUAAUUUAAAUAACGACAACGACUCUAAGCGGAAACGAAAUAGCGGAGCGAGACGAAAUACGUAACGCGCGAAACAGCACGACAUCGUGCAAACGACGCGCGGACACGCGCGGCAUAGCAUGCUGGCGAUAGACGAAACAGCGAGCGUGACGAACGCGAACGACGCGCGAACCAGCACGCCACUGCGCGGAACAGCACCCGCGACAGGCGAGACUAACUGAUCAGGUGACACAUUUAUACUAAACACCUAUUAAAUAAAUAAAAACAAGUUAAGCUAAUACUAGCCAGGUUAAAUGCCAAUUACAACCUUAAAAGUAAUCAGAUUAUAUUUACAAACCUUGCAUAGGACCUGCUACAUUUAAGUAGUAAAUCUUGAAGGGCAUGACACGCAAGGAUCGUAAUGAUAUCGUUUUUAUGCUAAGUGGGUAUUAACUAUAAUACUUAUUUUCAGCAUGAUCAUAUCAGUAGGCAUUUAUAAAAUAUAAAUUAACGCAACCGCUUAGUCUCAAUUAUUUUAAUACUCUAAUAGUUAAUAGCUACACAGGUGAUCAAUUAACAUGAAUGAUCAUAAGCGAAAACAAUUUAAUAACGCGCGAAAGACGCGUGACGACACACGACACUAUGCGAAACAGCGUGCGAACGGCACGCGGAAUAAUGCGCACGACAGCGCGUGACACGUACGAGUCAACGCGACUACGCACACGAACAGCACGAUGUCACACAAACGAUGUCGUGCGCGAACAACAAACAAAUAAUUAAUGAAAAGUAUUUCGGUUGGUAUUAAUCACGUUAACUAACAUUUAUUUAUAAAAGCGCGAGUUAAAGCUAUAAAACAAUUUAAUUAGAAGGCCGUUUUAAUAAGUAUGGAAUGAAUAGCUAAUUAAACAAUAUAGACUUGUGACAUGUUAGAAUACAUUACUAAUACGAAAUCGACGUGACUGAACAAUUAAUUUAGAACGAACACAAUAUACCACAGCGCUAAUCGAUAUCGUGUCUAUACUAACCAAACAUAAACGAAAACGCUUCUGAUUGACACAACUACCUUAAUAGCUAUCGAUGAAGCGCGUAAUUAAAAUUACAAGUUCGUUUUCGGUCGAAUUGUUAUUUUAAUCACCGAACAACCAAUUACUACUUAAUUAUUUAAUAUGCACCCAGUGGCGAAACGAUUUUACCAAAACGUGCAACUAGCGAUUUGCGUGAACGACACGCGAAUCAACACGUAACCACGGGCAGAGCCGCGCGUACGAUACGCGAGAUAAACUAAUUAAACGUCGCAUUUACAUUAAACUAAAUAUUAAUCGCGUCGACACGCAUUUAUAAAGCGCAAGUGAAUAACUAUAAAUUAGUUAAAUUAAAAAGUCUAAUUAAUUAACGUUAGUUAAACAAAAACGUGAGGCAUGGCGGAAAAAAAAACUACUAACGCGUAGAGGAUGCUCACCUAGAUGCGGAUAUGGACGGCGCAACGGGCUCCAGCGAGGCCGUGGGUGACGACGGGGCGAGCUCGCGACGGGUGGUGAACGGAGACGACGCAGCGAACCGUUGCGCAGCAAGGCGAGGCGCGACGGAAGGCGGCAUAACGCGACAACGACGUAGAGGCAGGGCGUGGCCUGGGCACGCAAGCCAGGGGACAGACGACGGCGAGCUGCUUAGAGCGGACGUCUGGUUCGACAAAGGUGGUCGCGGUUGGGGCGUGCGCGGCGAGAGCUUCCUGCGUGGCCGUAGCCUCCGGCGACCAGGGCUAGGACGAGCACGAACGCCGCGACGGCGAUGGGGAAUCCGCGCCUGGGGCUGCCGGUGUGCUCGCACAGACCCUUGCCGCGCAGGGGCUCGGACGGUUGGAGAAGACGUGCCCUGGCGGCCAGAGAACGAGCAGCGGCUGCGCGAGCGGCUGGGCGACCUGUUCUGCGCGCGCGAGCUGGGCUUGCUGGGAGCGUUGGCGAGCAGGCCUGGCGGCCUAGGCGAGCGUGCAAGGAGCGGCGGCUGGGCAGCACACGCUUGGGGCAGCGGCUGGGCGAGCGGAUCGUGGGCGCGGAUGCAGGCGUGCGCGGGCGAUGUGCAGGCGGCCGAGCGAGCGCACGCAGGUGGCGGCGCGGAGCACGACGGCGCGCGCCCAGGGAGCAGUCCAAGGACAGAGCAACGACGCCAUUGGAGGAGAGCUCGAUCCGUAGAGGAACUCGACGUGCACUGGACUGGGCGGCUCCUUGUGCGCGUCGUGGGGCUCAACACGAUUGGCGGCAUGCGAGUGGAGAGGGUGGUUGCGAGGAAGAAGGAACCCGACCGGUGGGCCCGGCGGCUGGGCAGGGGUACCAUGCGGCGGCUAGGGUUUGGGGGGCGUCGGCGCCGGGAUGGGCCAGGUGGGCCUCGCGGCUGCGCGCAGGAAUGGGCCGGAGCUGGGCCGCUCGAGUGCGUUGUGCGCACGGGAGCUCAAGCAGGCUGGACGCUAGGUGGGCCACGCGAGAGCUGGUGGGCUGAGGGAGGUUUUCCUUUUUUUUUGUUAUUUCUUUCUCUUCUUUUUUUUAUUCUUCUUCAAAUCUAAAUAUAGUUUUUGAAUCAAAGAUUCAAAUAUUUAAUGAGAUUGAAUUGAUGCCCAAACACAAUAAUUCGACACGAAAAUAUGCCUCGGCAUGCCAUGCAACAAUCAAGGACCCUCUUAGGGUUUUAUUUUACGAGGAUUAUGCCAGUAUAAAACAAAAAUAAUUCUCCAUUUUUGGGAAAAGAUAAGGAAAACAGAGAAAUGAGAGAGUAACAACCUGAAUUUGGUGGAUAUUUAGAAAAGAAAUUUUAUACCCCUAAAUUCAGGGUGUUACAAAUCUAACCCCCUUAACAGAAUCUCGCCCCCGAGAUUCAAGAAGAGGCUAGCAGGAAACUGGGAUUGGUUCAUUAGUCUUUCAUAGCUUUUUCUAACUCAACUUUGACUCCGCCAGCUUGACUUGUGGAUUGGUUGCUUUGACCAUCCGAUGCUUGAGACCGAUUGAUGCAAUUCUUGAGGGUCUCAUGGACUUGUGGGUUAGGACCCACACACGCUUUCGCUGCGCCAAUCUGAUCUUGUUGGUUGAUGUUGAUUGCACUGUCUUCAUUGGGGUUAGCGGCUAACCCCCUUAACAAGAGCAUUGAUACACACUUGAUGAAGAUGUUGCCGACUCUGAUCGUGACUGAUUUGGAGGAGCUGGAGGUUGCCAAAAGGACAGGUGCAAGAGGAAAGAAUAACGAGAAAAGGUAAGUAUAGACAGAUUAGAGAGAGCAGGGGGAGAACCCAACUAACCAACUCUAUGGCACCCAGCUAGUAAACUGAUGUCAUUGCGGACCAAGGGCCACAACACAUCAACACUCAUCACAAAGAAGCAAAUCAGUCAUCACACAAAGACAAACAGCACAAGCAUACAACAACAAACAUCUCGUUGCUAUACGUUUCUUUUAAUUAAAUGGUGGUCUUUCCUUAAAAAAGGGAAACUACUCUAAGGCCAACAAAAGGCAAGGGGAAUAAUAAGACAUGGAGGCUAGGGGCAUGAACAUAAUAAAGGAUGGAGCUAAAGCAAUGAUUGUAACCGACAAGGGAGAGAAUGCAACCAAGGUCAGGAUAGGUAAAACACCAUUCUCAAAUCGAGAUGGAAAAGAUGAUAUUUCAAAAGGUAGGCAUAGGAUAAGCAUCAAGGUAAAAAUCGAGGGAUGACAAGUGUUAAGGUGAUAAUGGACAAACACACAAUAAAGGAUGUAUUUUAGACAAGACUUGCAAGACGUCAAAGAAGGGGGAGCAGUCAAUGGCGAAAUAGGUAAGACAUUAUCCUCGAACAAGGAUGGAAAAGAGAAGGCUUUAAAGGGGAGGUUCAAAGUAAGCACGAAGGUAAGGGUACGAAUAUUUCAAGGGUUAAAGGUGAUAACUGACAAGAGUGUAAGAGAGGAGGUAAAUGGGCAAAAGAACAAAGGAUAUAAGUACCAUAGACGAUGGAGAUAAGACGGACCUGCAAAUGGAAAAGGAGAGGGUACGUCCAAGGGCAGAUGGGUAAAUUGCCACUCUCAAAUUGAGGUGGAAGAGAGGAGAUUUUUAAGUGGGCAUAAAGGUGAGUAUCAAGGCAAGAUCGAUAGAUGACCAGGGAAUGGUGAUAGCAAAUAAAAACACAUCAAAGGAUGGAAUUGGGACAUAACCUGUAAGGCGACAAGGAGGGAAAAGAAAUUAAAGGAGAGAUAGGUAACUCACAGCCUCAAACUUGCUUGAAGGAAAGGGGAGGAUUUUAAAGAUGUAUUCAAGGUAAGCAUUUAGGUAGAGGACAUCAUUAUCGCAAGGUUCAAAGGCGAUUACAGACAAGGGUAUAUGGGGAAAGAUGAAGGCAUUGGAGAGCCAGUGGUAUGAGUACAACAAAGAAUGGAGUUGCACCCAUGCUUACACGCGGUAAAGAAGAGGAUAUAGCCAAGAGUGAGGUAAGUAAAACACCGCUCUCAAAUUGAGAUAGGAGAUUGGAGAUUUUAGAUAACAGACAUAAUGUAAUCACAAGGUAUGAUAGAGUGAUGAGAAGGGUAAAUGAAGUAAUAAACAAAAACCCAACAAACGAUAGAGUUAAAAACUCACAGGUGACAGAAGAGGAUACGACCAAGGGAAAAAUAGGUAAAGUACAAUGCUCAGAUUGAGAUGGAAGAGAGGAUAUUUUAAAGGCCGGUAUAAGAUAAACAACAAGGUAAGAUAUAGGGGUGACAAGGAUAAAGGUGAUAAUGAUGAAAACAUAAUCCAUGGACAGAGUUAAGACAGGACUUGUUGAGGGACGAAGUGAAGAAAACAAUCAAGGAUAAGAUAAGUGAGGUUCCGACAGAAGAGUUGAAAUAAAAAUUCAUUACCGAAGGAAGUUACAAGGAAUCAAUGAGAUCACCAAGGAUGUGCGAAAUAAAAUGAAUGCUCAUGGAUCAUCGAGAAACAAGGGUGGUCAAGGGAAUGUAAAAUGAAAUAUCCUAAAUAGACCUUGGGAUAUGAAGAUAAACAUACAUAAAAAAUAUAAGAGUAUGCAAGACUUCAAGGAUACGAGCAUACCAAGACCAAGGGAAAUAGGGAUGGUCAAAUGGUAGCAAUUUAAUAAUGGAAGACAAAAAGAAUCCCAAAAGACAAGAAGGUUAUGAUCAGGGGGCAUCUACAAAGAUGUCGCAAGCACAAGAUGAGAUCAGAUCUAAUAGAUUGAGAGAAGUAUAGACCAUACUAGAAUAAAAUACUUUUUGGCAAGGGGGCAUAUAGGAGCGCAACAUAGAAUUAGUCGAGGUGACUAAUAUUUUGAAGCAAAAUCAAGGAUGAGAUGAAGUAAUAAUCAAUAAGUCCUUAAAACGGCCAAUGCUACUCUAGGUUAGCGGUCCUACAGUCAGCCUGGCUUUGAUACCACUUAUGUCACACCCGGUUUUGAAGGUAAACCGAAUGCGAACCAUGUACGUGCCAGGAUCAGUAAUUCACGUACACAGCGAUUACAUAAAUGACUCAUCAUAGCACAAUGCUUCGAAUUACAGUAAAGAGUAAGUAAUAAUAUUACAAACUAGAGUCAUUUACAUAAUAUAAAUCAAAGUACACAGAAUCGAAACGUAGCCAACGUAAACAACCCACCACAGGCAGCUGACUGGGGGAGGUCGCUAGCCUAAUCCUCGAACUCAUCGAAGUCCUAGAACUCCUGGAGAUCCGCCUCGACGCCUUCUUUACCUGAGCAUAGAUUGCACCAAAGGCAACCUGGUGUUUUGUGAAAGCAAGGGUGAGUACACAUCAACGUACUCAGCAAAUGUCCCGUUUGGCUGAGGUGGACUAGCUUUAUGUGGGGUUAAGCUCAAGCAGUUGCUUUUAGUUGGUCAGGUAUUUAUUAUUAGUGGAAGCCAAGUUUUAUCAUAUAACCAACCCGUGAAUCAUUUCCUCAUCGAGGAACAUCAUUAUCGUCAUCGAACCAAAAUAAUAAAUAGAACCAUUGUAUCUCAGAUCAUCGGUAUCUCGAACCAUCUGUAUCUCUAAUCAAAGAGGAUCCCAAGGCCGCUCAUAACCGUGAGCACGACUGAUAUAUCAGUUUCUAACCCUCUGCAGAGGUCGCACACUUUACCCACAAGUCGUGAUUCCCAUUCUGCCCGGAGAUCAUGACUCUCCAUUGAUCACUACCAAGGUGAUCUAGCAGGGUCUCACUACGUAGCCUUUACAAAGAUUCCCUAGAGGUCAUAGCCGCCCGUUAGGUUUCUCCAGUUUGAUAAACACAGUACCUCUCCCCGAAGGAGGGUGACUAACAAAAGCAAAACGAAAGAACCUCGGCACCCAGCCUCGGCAGAGCAAGCACUGUGCCUGGACCCCAUUGACGACACGACGGCGAAGCAACUACACCUCUAGUUCCUCUAAUUAAUUAGCUAAGGGCAUCCCAUUUCACCCUCAUGGUUGCACUGUUAUCCCGGGUGGUCUCUCAACGAACAG